This 414-nucleotide ribosomal RNA is filed under the name Panstrongylus chinai. Its description in RNAcentral is "partial large subunit ribosomal RNA". It matches the Rfam family "Bacterial large subunit ribosomal RNA", at positions 1918 to 2540 of the family's 2925-position model. The record is from RNAcentral. Lineage: Eukaryota; Metazoa; Arthropoda; Insecta; Hemiptera; Reduviidae.
AGGUAUUGAAUGGCCGCAGUAUUUUAACUGUGCUAAGGUAGCAUAAUCAUUUGUCUUUUAAUUGAGGGCUGGAAUGAAGGGUUGGACGAAGUAUUAUCUUUCUUUAAUUUAAUUUGGGGAAUUUAAUUUUUAAGUCAAAAAGCUUAAAUUUAUUUGUUGGACGAGAAGACCCUAUAGAUCUUUAUAAUUCUUUUAUUUUAACAAUUUAGUGAUUUAAAUGUUUGGAAUUAAUGUGAUUAUUUUGUUGGGGUGACUGUAGAAUUGAAAUAACUUCUAUUAUAUUUUUUCAUUGAUUUAUGUUAUUGUUGAUCCAUAUUUUAUGAUUAUAAGAUUAAGUUACCUUAGGGAUAACAGCGUAAUUUCCUCGGAGAGUUCAUAUUGAUGAGGGAGUUUGCGACCUCGAUGUUGGAUUAA